GCUUCUAUAUUUCAUAGGUGGGGAAAUCAUACUGAUGACUCAACCAUCCAUAGUGUUAUUUUGCUGUUUCAUGCUACCUCAGUGGAAAAUAACAAGUCUAAUUUUUACCCCCUGCACGAUAAAAAAAAUCUAUUAUUUUUAUUGAGGAACCUACCGCUGGUAGAAACUCAUUUAUUUCAGGGUAAUCUGGUUCUUAAAAUAUUAUUGAUAGCAUUUAUGUUUAACUGGAUUGCAAGAACAGAAUACACACAAGUCAUUUGGUUCCCAGUUUUAUAAUUUUGGCUUCCGUACCUUAUUUAGACAAGCUUAGGCUUCCUUUGCUUGGCUAUGACAGACAUUUUAGAAUAUCUCCGGACUCAUGAAUAUAAAUAGUUGUGCAAAAACAAAUUUUAUAAAACCAGAGCUGGUAACAAAAAUUACCUAGAGAUCAACAACUCUAAAAGAAUCUAGUGUCACAUUCCUUAGAAUGUCAGAUUAAACUAACAUGUGCCAGUCAAUAUUGCUACACUGCGACCCUUGAUGCCUCCUAAGCAAAACUAUUAAGUCCAACAUUCUCUCCUGUAAGCACUUAUCUGUAAGGAUGGCUAACAUGUCCUCUGAAGCAGAUAUUGAAACUGAUUGGACAAUAGGUAGAUACCAGACAGGGGCCUGGGGGCCGACCUCUAGAAAUAGGGGGAGAAAAUCUUAAUCUGCAACACAAUGCCGUUCUCUUGAAACCCUAUCAUUUUCACUUCCCAUGUGUCUGCUGCCUGACUGUGAAUGGAUUUGAAAAGGAAUGGUUAGUGCUGAAAAUUGGAUCAGAGCUAACAUUCUCUCAUUUUUAUCAGCAGCUGCCAAAGGUCAUCUGACAUAAUAGCUGAUGAAUUCAAGCCCAGUGGAUUUCAUUUGCAAUUUUCAAUUUACUGAGGCCUCCAAACCCCACGGUGAUAAAAGCUUCCCCUAUCGUGGCCUGUCACAAACAUCAAGAAACUGCACAAACCCACAAGAAAGAAAAAAGAGAAAGCUGUGCAUCCUCGCAGGUACAGAUAAGGAGAACAGGAAGAAAUGGUAUCAUGCGGGAAGGUAUGGAGCAGCUUGUGUGGCUGGUUCUCUAAAUGCCAAUUGAAAGGAAAAGACUAUGAAGAACAAUCAAAUAACUUCCACAGAAUAACAUCAUGUUUCUUUGGGGCUUUUGUGUGAAAAUUGCCUUCUAAUCUCUUACUUGACAAGUCCCCAAACAAAACUGUAAGCGUAAAUAUGCAAACAAAUAAAUGAAUAAAUAAU
This 1263-nucleotide long non-coding RNA is filed under the name Lynx pardinus (Iberian lynx). Lineage: Eukaryota; Metazoa; Chordata; Mammalia; Carnivora; Felidae. The record is from RNAcentral.